Molecule: ribosomal RNA, 346 nt
Filed under: uncultured bacterium
Lineage: Bacteria
Description: partial 16S ribosomal RNA
Rfam family: Bacterial small subunit ribosomal RNA
Source: RNAcentral
CCUACGGGGGGCUGCAGUCGAGAAUCAUUCACAAUGGGGGAAACCCUGAUGGGGCGACGCCGCGUGGGGGAAGGAAGGUCUGCGGAUUGUAAACCCCUGUCAUGGGGGAGCAAAUUAAAAAGAGAGUACAACAAGAGGAAGAGACGGCGAACGCGGGGCCAGCAGCCGCGGUAAUACAGAGGGCGCAAGCGUGGUUCGGAAGCACUGGGGGUAAAGCGGGCGUAGGCGGUUUAGUAAGGCGUGUGUGAAAGGCGCGGGCUCAACCCGCGGCCGGCACCUGAUACUGCGAGACUAGAGUAAUGGAGGGGGAACCGGCAUUCUCGGUGUAGCCGUGAAAUGCGUAGAU